UUUUCUUUUCUUUUCUUCUCCCAGCAGAACGGAGGCUGGCAAGCGAAAGCAAAAUGGCGCGCACGAUUAAUCCAUGUGUCGAAACAAAAGGAGCAGCCGUGGCGUGCCUUUCCAAAGCAAUUGAAACGGCGACCGCUCCGCUCGGAAGCCACCCCACGUCUCGUCUCCGGCCCGCCGCCGUCGCUCUCCCGCGAAAAUCGACCCGCAAGCAAACCCAGACCCGACAACCACCUCCUCCACACCUACCGCUAUAUAAACCGCGGUCGACACGCCAAGAGACUGCGGGCUUCACCGAUCACCAAUACGUGGUGCAGGUGCAGCAGAUUAACAAUUCAGCUCGUGCGUGCGUGCGUGCUCCAUGGUGAGAUCGCUUCCGUCUGUUUCAAUGGAGGGGAGGAGGCUGGAGGAGGAGGAGCAGCGGGAGGUGCUGCUCAUCCACAGCCAGGUGCGGAGGAUCAAGCGGGAGGACGAGGAGACCCGGAGGCACCUCCUGAAGCUGCAGCUGCUGGAGACGAGGCCGGCCGCCGGGCAAGGGCAGGAGGCCUCGCCGCCGGCCUCCCGCUCGCUGUCACCGCUCCGGCGCGCCGGGAGCGCCAUACCGGUCGGCGACUGGGCCUAGUCACCUCGCGUGGCCGGCCAGGCAGCGUAGACAUAUAGAUAUAGGAGAGCGAGCGAGCUAUAUAUGUGAGAGCCAUAGUACGAUCGAUGCCUGUCCAUGCUCUCUGGGUGCAUGGAACCAGAGCUUAGUUGAUCGAUCGAUCUAGCUGCUUUACUCUGUUUCAGUCGACUUUUCUUCUUCUGUUGUAAAUAUACCGAAGUUCACCUCGUGCUUCUACGUACUGCAUCCAAGUUCUUCCACGCUAGUUCCUUCAGAAUUGUUUCCAUUCUUCGUGAGACUCGGCAUGGAAAUCCGCAGAAAACACCGGCAAAUCGGGCAUGUCAUUGCCAGACCCGGAGGAUGCGCCUCGGGCAAGGCAACGGCCAGCGGAUGAGACGGGAGGCACAGAUCGACUCAGGAAGCCAACGUUGACUCGGAAGUAGCAUAGCAUAGGUCGCAUCCCGGCAUCCGCAUGUGUAUCUUCUCAGAAUGAAGACGAGAUCCGCAUCUGUCACGUAGGCUAGGCCAUUUUGUGCACGUGGUUGAACGCCGAAGCGUGGCUUUGACACGCAGGAGGAGCACCAGAACCGACAGCGGCGCUGCAGCAAUAAUUCAACUCAGUUUCCAUGGUUUUUUCCAACCAUUUUUCACGGAAAAUACUCAGAUUUUUCUUACUAGCCUGCGUUGCUGGCACGGCGUGCAGCCAGGAGAAGCAUCCAUCGGCCUCGCCUCCACGUCGCGGCAGCGAGCGGGCUGGCGUGUCCACGUCCAAGUCCAAGAUAAUAAUCGAGCGAGGCACUUGCACGGCGUCUGACGUCUGACGAUUCACCAUUAGUUAGGUUUUGCAUCGUCGUUCGGCGGUCGGAUCCGUCGCAGCCUCGCGGAAAGUAGGAUGCACGGCUGCGCCCGAUCCAACAAACCGGCCCCCCAGAUUGAGGACGGCGGGGGCCAUCCGCUGUCAACGUCCCACCGAACGAGCUGAGUGUAUUGCGUGACGGAUUGAGUGAACCUGGAACCGCUCCUUGGCGGCCGGUCACCGGCGACACGAAUCUCGCGGUGACGGCCAGGGGGCAGGGGAGAAGCGGCGGGGAUGUCCGAUCCAUCGACCGCGGUCAGCCGGGUCUUUCAUCCUGCUUCCAUUUUUUUAGGGUCAUCCUGCUUCCGAGGCCUUUUCUUAGGGUCUGUUUGGUAUAGGGGAAAUUCGCACGAACAUUUGACGAUUCGGUUUUUAUAGGAACUAGUAGAAUGCCCGUGCGUUGUCACAGUCUCUUGAAAAAGUUUACAAGAGUUACAUGUUAAAUUUCACAUGCACAAACAAUAUAACGUAAACACAAUUACUGAAUAAUUGAAGUCCAUUUUGCAACGAAAAUUGAUAACAAAAAGAAAAACUAACGACAUGUCCAUGUAAUAAACUGAGCGAUGUUUCAGCUAAACAUCUAUUACAAAAUUAUCAAUAUCUAGAUGAUGCGCUUAAGAAAUUCUUUAACAAUAUCAGAAAAAUUGUCUUUAGCUUCGUUCCCAUGGUGUCUUAGCAGGUAUAAUAAAAAUUGAUUCCUCAACUCAUACCCAUCCUGCACAAACAAUAUAUGUAGUUAGUAUGCAAAUUUCACGCCGAAGGUCUUAAAACAUGUAACGGACAAUACUCACCGCGCAAACCGGCUUGAUCAAUUCUGUACCGUUCCACCAGAGCAUAAAAUGAAAAACAAAAUAGCCAGACACAUUCCUGCAAUAUUUUAAAUUAAUAAUGUAAAGAAUAUAGUGAUAACAAAAAUAAAUUUUUAUUUUAUUAUGAAUUCAUUACCCGUCUAUACUCGUUGAAAUACCAAAUGGAAAUAAACGUUGCCAUUUAGAAAUGUCGGAAUUCCAAUCAGGCAGCUUUAUUUCGAGUGCUUCUUUGAAAUCCCUUGCAGAAGUUUUUAAUUUCAGUGCAUGCCUCAAAUUUUUACCCUCUGACGAUUGUGAUGUUUGAAUAGGGUCCAUAAUAUAUAUCCGACGUGCCUCUUUGUCGAUCACGUACAAGAUGUAUCGGGCGAUGGAUGCAUAUGGAAGAUAAAUCUACAAGUGAAGCUAUUAGAAACACCAAUAAACCAUGAUAACAAUAAACAAUAUACUUUACUUACCAUGUUGCACGAUGAGAUGUUGUUGUCCAUCCCAGGCCAACUAUUAAAUAAUGUUGCCAACGUCUGGAUAGUUUCCUUCUCGCAAAACUUCUGACCUCUUGUUGACUCUAGCAUCAUGGACUAAGUAAAAAACUAAAUAUUGCUUCAGUAUGUUAAUACUAAUGCCACAUAGAAUGCAGAGUUACGAUAACUUACACAAAAUCUUAGAUCCAUGUAGUGUAUAGGAGGGUCUGUGAACAAUACUCCCUCGUCACAUGCCAGUAUACGCACGGCGGUGUUGAAGUAAUCAUUGUCCAUAGCCUACUCGGUGAAUUUACGGUCCCUUUCAGCAACUUCGCAUCGGAACCCUCAAUGGAUUCUUUUUGUGCAUCUCCAAAGUCCAUAUCCAUAUCUCAUUCUGAAAAAAUAAUAAUAUACAAAAAAUAUACCUUUCGUAUUUUCAUGUAUAAUAUACAUACAGAUGAAGGUUAGCUAUAUGCACCUCUUCUCGUGGUGUUUCAGUGCGGUAUGUCAUCGUUACAUCACUGCAUAUAUCGGAACCCAUCACUCUGUAUCUACGAUGAAAUAUAUAUGAUGAAAUAUAAGUGAUACUUUCUACUGCAUAAUAUAAUCAUAUAUAAUAUCUGAAAAAAAUAAAAGUGAAACUAACACAACUAUUUUCUCUGUAAAAAACAUAUUUGACAUUAUUAGGAAAAUACGUUGAUUAAAUAAUUGUACUAACACAAAAUUCGGGGAAAACAACAAAUUGUAAUGUUCAUAUAUAAGUAAAUAGUCAUAUGAAAAUUAUUUAAAUUAUUUAUAUAGGCCAUGGAAAAUUGUCCAACUAAAGAAAAAAAACAUGCAAACAAACCUUCUUCAACCAAGUAUAUUUGUUUUUCCUCUCAAUUUUAUUGUGAUACCCUUAGUAUAUGAAAGGUAAGUAUAAAAAAUAUUUAUUUUUAUGAACCAUAUUUUAUAUAUAUAUAUACACACUUUUAUUGUUUCUGUGAGGUAUGUAUACUUUUAAUAUCUAUGUUUUUUAUCAUAAAUUCCUACACAUGCGAGUCUAGCAUUUCUAUCGUUGAGAAAAAUUUGCACACUAGGCCCAAAUUAGCUAUCCACCACGGCCCAAUCAGCACCCAAAUUUAGCCCCCUAAAAAAUAACUAUAAAAAAAUUACCUUAUUCACGGUAUAUUUUUUUGAGGGAUUACGGUAUACCUGGACAAAUGGGCCGGCACGACCCGGCCAGGAUUACACGGGCCAGGCACGACACUUCCCGGCCAGGCACGCAUGCUGGCCUCCCUGGCCCAGGCACGACAAAGAUGCCUCACGGGCCGGCUCGACGACCCACCUGGCACGCUGGCCUCUGGGCUCACUGGCCACCCCUCGCCUUUUCCCUCCCCUGCUGUAUCCCAACCCUAACCCCACUCACUCACCACUCUCCCCUCCACUCACUCACUUCCUCUCGCACUUUCCCCUCCCCCGCUGCAUCGCUGCGUGCCUCGACGAGCCGGUGCCCGCGAGACUCCGCCCGCCGACCGCCGGAUUGAAGGAAAUAUGCCCUAGAGGCAAUAAUAAAGUUGUUAUUUAUAUUUUCUUAUAUCAUGAUAAAUGUUUAUUAUUCAUGCUAGAAUUGUACUCCCUCCGUCCGGUGAAGUGUACAGCUAGAAAUUAUAGGACAAAUUAUGGAGUUGAGUAAAGAAUGCAUUGGAAAGGUGCAAGCUACCAUCUCUCUCUUCUUUAAUUACCCAACCCCCAAUGAGCUAAGUGCAUGUAGAAAUUAAGAAGACCAUGUGUAGAUUGCUAUUGGUCUUGAUUACCAUGUGAUGAGAGAGAAGUAUUUUUUUCCCACUUUAAAGUGCAUUGGGAAGAUAGAAGUACACUCUUUUGUGGACAAUUUUUGAAGCUAGAUGUACACUCUUCACCGGACGGAGGGAGUAUUAACCAGAAACUUAGUACAUGUGUGAAUACAUAGACAAACAGAGUGUCACUAGUAUGCCUCUACUUGACUAGCUCGUUAAUCGAAGAUGGUUAAGUUUCCUAGCCAUGGACAAAGAGUUGUCAUUUGAUAAGCGGGAUCACAUCAUUAGUGAAUGAUGUGAUUGACUUGACCCAUCCGUUAGCUUAGCACGAUGAUUGUUUAGUUUGUUGCUAUUGCUUUCUCAUAACUUAUACAUGUUCCUAUGACUAUGAGAUUAUGCAACUCCCGAAUACCGGAGGAACACUUAGUGUGCUAUCAAACGUCACAACGUAACUGGGUGAUUAUAAAGAUGCUCUACAGGUGUCUCCGAUGGUGUUUGUUGAGUUGGCAUAAAUCGAGAUUAUGAUUUGUCACUCCGAGUAUCGGAGAGGUAUCUCUGGGCCCUCUCGGUAAUGCACAUCACUAUAAGCCUUGCAAGCAUUUUGACUAAUGAGUUAGUUACGGGAUGUUGCAUUACGGAACGAGUAAAGAGACUUGCCGGUAACGAGAUUGAACUAGGUAUUAAGAUACCGACGAUCGAAUCUCGGGCAAAUAACAUACCGAUGACAAAGGGAACAACGUAUGUUGUUAUGCGGUUUGACCGAUAAAGAUCUUCGCAGAAUAUGUAGGAACCAAGGUGAGCAUCCAGGUUCCGCUAUUGGUUAUUGACCGGAGAUGAGUCUCGGUCAUGUCUACAUAGUUCUCGAACCCGUAGGGUCCGCACGCUUAACGUUCGGUGACGAUCGGUAUUAUGAGUUUAUGUGUUUUGAUGAACCGAAGGUUGUUCGGAGUCCCGGAUAUGAUCACGGGCAUGACGAGGAGUCUCGAAAUGGUCGAGACAUAAAUAUCGAUAUAUUGAAAGCCUAUGUUUGGACAUCGGAAUGGUUCGGUGAGUUUGGGCAUUUACCGGAGUACCGGGCGGUUACCGGAACCCCCCGGGGAGUACAUGGGCCUUAAUGGGCCUUAGUGGGAAAGAGGAGGAGGCGGCCUAGGAGGGGCGCCCCCCAAGCCCAAUCCGAAUUGGGAGGGGGGGCAGUCCCCCCUUUCCUUCCUCCCUCUCUCCUCCUUCCUUCCUCUCCUACUGCCACUUGGAAGAGGGGGAAUCCUACUCCCGGUGGGAGUAGGACUCCCCUAGGGCGCGCCAUAGAGAGGGCCGGCCCUCCCCCUCCUCCACUCCUUUAUAUACGAGGGAGGGGGCACCCCAUAGACACACAAGUUGAUCAUUGUCUUAGCCGUGUGCGGUGCCCCCCUCCACCAUAAUCCACCUCGGUCAUAUCGUCGUAGUGCUUAGGCGAAGCCCUACGUCGGUAGCUUCAUCAUCAUCGUCAUCACGCCGUCGUGCUGACGAAGCUCUCCCUCGACACUCAGCUGGAUCGAGAGUUCGUGGGACGUCACCGAGAUGAACGUGUGUAGAUCGCGGAGGUGUCGUACUUUUGGUACUAGGAUCGGUCGGACCGUGAAGAUGUACGACUACAUCAACCGCAUUGUCAUAACGCUUUCUUUUACGGUCUAUGAGGGUACGUGGACUACACUCUCCCCUCUUGUUGCUAUGCAUCACCAUGAUAGAUCUUGCGUGUGCGUAGGAAUCUUUUUGAAAUUACUGCGUUCCCAACAGUGGCAUCCGAGCCAGGUCUAUGCGUAGAUGUUAUAUGCACGAUUAGAACACAAAGAGUUAUGGGCGAUAAUAGUCAUACUGCUUACCAGCAUGUCAUACUUUGAUUCGGUGGUAUUGUUGGAUGAAGCGGCUCAGACCGACAUUACGCGUACGCUUACGCGAGACUGGUUCUACCGACAUGCUUCGCACACAGGUGGCUAGUGGGUGUCAGUUUCUCCAACUUUAGUUGAAUCGAGUGUGACUACGCCCGGUCCUUGUUGAAGGUUAAAACAGCACACUUGACAAAAAAUUGUUGUGGUUUUUGAUGCGUAGGUAAGAACGGUUCUUGCUCAGCCCGUAGCAGCCACGUAAAACUUGCAACAACAAAGUAGAGGACGUCUGACUUGUUUUUGCAGGGCAUGUUGUGAUGUGAUAUGCUCAAGACAUGAUGCUAAAUUUUAUUGUAUGAGAUGAUCAUGUUUUGUAACAGAGUUAUCUACAACUGGCAGGAGCCAUAUGGUUGUCGCUUUAUUGUAUGAAAUGCAAUCGCCAUGUAAUUGCUUUACUUUAUCACUAAGCGGUAGCGAUAGUCGUAGUAGCAAUAGUUGGCGAGACGACAACGAUGCUUCGAUUGAGAUCAAGGUGUCAAGCCGGUGACGAUGAGGAUCAUGACGGUGCUUUGGAGAUGGAGAUCAAAGGCACAAGAUGAUGAUGGCCAUAUCAUAUCACUUAUAUUGAUUGCAUGUUAUGUUUAUCCUUUAUGCAUCUUAUUUUGCUUAGUUCGGCGGUAGCAUUAUAAGAUGAUCCCUCAAGGUACAAGUGUUCUCCCUGAGUAUGCACCGUUGCUACAGUUCAUCAUGCCGAGACACCACGUGAUGAUCGGGUGUGAUAAGCUCUACGUUCACAUACAACGGGUGCAAGCCAGUUUUGCACAUGCAGAAUACUCGGGUUAAACUUGACGAGCCUAGCAUAUGCAGAUAUGGCCUCGGAACACUGAGACCGAAAGGUCGAGCGUGAAUUAUAUAGUAGAUAUGAUCAACAUAGUGAUGUUCACCAUUGAAAACUACUCCAUCUCACGUGAUGAUCGGACAUGGUUUAGUUGAUAUGGAUCACGUGAUCACUUAGAUGAUUAGAGAGAUGUCUAUCUAAGUGGGAGUUCUUAAGUAAUAUGAUUAAUUGAACUUUAAUUUAUCAUGAACUUACUACCUGAUAGUAUUUUGCAUGUCUAUGUUGUUGUAGAUAAAUGGCCCGUGUUGUUAUUCCGUUGAAUUUUAAUGUGUUCCUAGAGAAAGCUAAGUUGAAAGAUGAUGGUAGCAAUUACACGGACUGGGUCUGUAACUUGAGGAUUAUCCUCAUUGAUGCACAGAAGAAUUACGUCCUGGAAGCACCGCUAGGUGACAAACCCACUACAGGAGCAACGCCAGAUGUUAUGAAUGUCUGACAGAGCAAAGCUGAUGACUACUCGAUAGUUCAGUGUGCCAUGCUUUACGGCUUAGAACCGGGACAUCAACGAUGUUUUGAACGUCGUGGAGCAUAUGAGAUGUUCCAGGAGUUGAAGUUAAUAUUUCAAGCAAAUGCCCAGAUUGAGAGAUAUGAAGUCGCCAAUAAGUUCUACAACUGCAAAAUGGAGGAGAAUAGUUCUAUCAGUGAACAUAUACUCAGAAUGUCUGGGUACCACAACCACUAGACUCAUCUGGGAGUUAAUCAUCCUAAUGAUAGUGUCAUUGACAGAGUUCUUCAAUCACUACCACCAAGCUACAAGAGCUUCGUGAUGAACUAUAAUAUACAAGGGAUGGAUAAGACAAUUUUCGAGCUCUUCGCAAUGCUAAAGGCUGCGGAGGUAGAAAUCAAGAAGGAGCAUCAAGUGUUGAUGGUCCACAAGACCACCAGUUUCAAGAAAAAGGGUAAAGGGAAGAAGGGGAACUUCAAGAAGAACAGCAAGCAAGUUGCUGCUCAAGUAAACAAGCCCAAGUCCGGACCUAAGCUUGAGACUGAGUGCUUGUACUACAAAGGGACUGGUCACUGGAAGCGGAACUGCCCCAAUUAUUUGGCGGAGAAGAAGGAUGGCAAAGUGAAAGGUAUAUUUGAUAUACAUGUCAUUGAUGUGUACCUUACUAAUGCUCGCAGUAGCGCCUUGGUAUCUGAUACUGGUUCUGUUGCUAAUAUUUGCAACUUGAAACAGGGGCUACAGAUUAAGCGAAGAUUGGCUAAGAACAAGGUGACGAUGCGCGUGGGAAAUGGUUCCAAAGUCGAUGUGAUCACCGUCGGCACGCUACCUCUACAUCUACCUUCGGGAUUAGUUUUAGACCUAAAUAAUUGUUAUUUGAUGCCAGCGUUGAGCAUGAACAUUAUAUCUGGAUCUUGUUUGAUGCGAGACGGUUAUUCAUUUAAAUAAGAGAAUAAUUGUUGUUCUAUUUAUAUGAGUAAUAUCUUUUAUGGUCAUGCACCCUUGAUGAGUGGUCUAUUUUUACUAAAUCUUGAUAGUAGUGAUACACAUGUUCAUAGUAUUGAAGCCAAAAGAUAUAAGUUUAAUAAUGAUAGCGCAACUUAUUUGUGGCACUGCCGUUUAGGUCAUAUUGGUGUAAAGCGCAUGAAGAAACUCCAUGCCGAUGGGCUUUUGGAAUCACUUGAUGCUUGUGAACCAUGCCUCAUGGGCAAGAUGACUAAGACUCCGUUCUCCGGAACAAUGGAGCGAGCAACAGAUUUGUUGGAUAUAAUAGAUACUGAUGUAUGCGGUCCGAUGAGUGUUGAUGCUCGCGGCGGGUACCGUUAUUUUCUUACUUUCACAGAUGAUUUGAGUAGAUAUGGGUAUAUCUACUUGAUGAAACAUAAGUUUGAAACAUUUGAAAAGUUUAAAGAAUUUCAGAAUGAAGUGGAAAAUCAUCGUAACAACAAAAUAAAGUUUCUAUGAUCUGAUCGUGGAGGAGAAUAUUUGAGUUACGAGUUUGGUCUUCAUUUGAAACAAUGCGGAAUAGUUUCGCAACUCACGCCACCUGAAACACCACAACCUAAUGGUGUGUCCGAACGUCGUAAUCGUACUUUACUUGAUAUGGCGCGAUCUAUGAUGUCUGUCACUGAUUUACCGCUAUCAUUUUGGGGUUAUGCUUUAGAGACGGUUGCAUUCACGUUAAAUAGGGCACCAUCUAAAUCCGUUGAGACGACACCUUAUGAACUGUGGUUUGGCAAGAAACUCAAGUUGUCGUUUCUUGAAGUUUGGGGCUGCGAUGCUUAUGUAAAAAAGUUUCAACCUGAUAAGCUCGAACCCAAAUCGGAGAAAUGUGUCUUCAUAGGAUACCCAAAGGAGACUAUUGGGUACACCUUCUAUCACAGAUCCAAAGGCAAGAUAUUAGUUGCUAAAAAUGGAUCCUUUCUAGAGAAGGAGUUUCUCUCGAAAGAAGUGAGUGGGAGGAAAGUAGAACUUGAUGAGGUAAUUGUACCUACUCCCAAAUUGGAAAGUAGUUCAUCACAGAAAUCAGUUCCAGUGAUUCCUACACCAAUUAGUGAGGAAGCUAAUGAUGAUGAUCAUGAAACUUCAGAUCAAGUUACUGCUGAACCUCGUAGGUCAACCAGAGUAAGAUCCGCACCAGAGUGGUACGGUAAUCCUGUUCUGGAAGUCAUGUUACUUGACCAUGACGAACCUACGAACUAUGAGGAAGCGAUGAUGAGCCCAGAUUCCGCAAAAUGGCUUGAGGCCAUGAAAUCUGAGAUGGGAUCCAUGUAUGAGAACAAAGUAUGGACUUUGGUUGACUUGCCCGAUGAUUGGCAAGCCAUAGAAAAUAAAUGGAUCUUCAAGAAAAAGACUGACGCUGACGGUAAUGCUACUGUCUACAAAGCUCGACUUGUUGCAAAAGGUUUUCGACAAGUUCAAGGAGUUGACUACGAUGAGACCUUCUCACCCGUAGCAAUGCUUAAGUCCGUCCGAAUCAUGUUAGCAAUUGCCGCAUUUUAUGAUUAUGAAAUUUGGCAAAUGGAUGUCAAAACUGCAUUCCUUAAUGGAUAUCUUAAAGAAGAGUUGUAUAUGAUGCAACCAGAAGGUUUUGUCAAUCCAAAAGGUGCUAACAAAGUGUGCAAGCUCCAGCGAUCCAUUUAUGGACUGGUGCAAGCCUCUCGGAGUUGGAAUAUACGUUUUGAUAAUGUGAUCAAAGCAUAUGGAUUUAUAUAGACUUUUGGAUAAACCUGUAUUUACAAGAAAGUGAGUAGGAGCUCUGUAGCAUUUCUGAUAUUAUAUAUGGAUGACAUAUUAUUGAUCGGAAAUGAUACCGAAUUUCUGAAUAGCAUAAAAGGAUACUUGAAUAAGAAUUUUUUCCUCGGUGAAGCUGCUUAUAUAUUGGGCAUCAAGAUCUAUAGAGAUAGAUCAAGAUGCUUAAUUGGACUUUCACAAAGCACAUAGCUUGACAAAGUUUUGAAGAAGUUCAAAAUGGAUCAAGCAAAGAAACGGUUCUUGCCCGUGUUACGUCGAUGCAAGCUUUGACACUGAUCCAGAAGACUCUAAGUCACAAACCGGAUACGUAUUUUUAUUGAAUGGUGGAGCUGUCAGUUGGUGCAGUUCCAAGCAGAGCGUCGUGGCGGGAUCUACGUGUGAAGCGGAGUACAUAGCUGCUUCGGAAGCAGCGAAUGAAGGAGUCUGGAUGAAGGAGUUCAUAUCCGAUCUAGGUGUCAUACCUAGUGCAUCGGGUCCAAUAAAAAUCUUUUGUGACAAUACUGGUGCAAUUGCCUUGGCAAAGGAAUCCAGAUUUCACAAGAGAACCAAGCACAUCAAUAGACGCUUCAAUUCCAUCCGCGAUCAAGUCAAGAAGGAAGACACAGAGAUUUGCAAGAUACAUACGGAUCUGAAUGUUGCAGACCCAUUGACUAAGCCUCUCUCACGAGCAAAACAUGAUCAACACGAAGACUCCAUGGAUAUUAGAAUCAUUACAAUAUAAUCUAGAUUAUUAACUCUAGUGCAAGUGGGAGACUGAAGGAAAUAUGCCCUACAGGCAAUAAUAAAGUUGUUAUUUAUAUUUCCUUAUAUCAUGAUACAUGUUUAUUAUUCAUGCUAGAAUUGUAUUAACCGGAAAUUUAGUACAUGUGUGAAUACAUAGACAAACAGAGUGUCACUAGUAUGCCUCUACUUGACUAGCUAGUUAAUCAAAGAUGGUUAAGUUUCCUAGCCAUGGACAAAGAGUUGUCAUUUGAUAAGCGGGAUCACAUCAUUAGUGAAUGAUGUGAUUGACUUGAACCAUCCGUUAGCUUAGCACGAUGAUCGUUUAGUUUGUUGCUAUUGCUUUCUUCAUAACUUAUACAUGUUCCUAUGACUAUGAGAUUAUGCAACUCCCGAAUACCGGAGGAACACUUAGUGUGCUAUCAAACAUCACAACGUAACUGGGUGAUUAUAAAGAUGCUCUACAGGUGUCUCCGAUGGUGUUUGUUGAGUUGGCAUAAAUCGAGAUUGGGAUUUGUCACUCCGAGUAUCUGAGAGGUAUCUCUGGGCCCUCUCGGUGAUGCACAUCACUAUAAGCCUUGCAAGCAUUUUGACUAAUUAGUUAGUUACGGGAUGUUGCAUUACGGAACGAGUAAAGAGACUUGCCGGUAACGAGAUUGAACUAGGUAUUAAGAUACCGACGAUCGAAUCUCGGGCAAGUAACAUUUAUGCGGUUUGAUCGAUAAAGAUCUUCGUAGAAUAUGUAGGAACCAACAUGAGCAUCCAGGUUCCGCUAUUGGUUAUUGACCAGAGAUGAGUCUCGGUCAUGCCUACAUAGUUCUCGAACCCGUAGGGUCCGCACGCUUAACGUUCGGUGACGAUCCGUAUUAUGAGUUUAUGUGUUUUGAUGAACCGAAGGUUGUUCGGAGUCCCGGAUAUGAUCACGGGCAUGACGAGGAGUCUCGAAAUGGUCGAGACAAAAAGAUGGAUAUAUUGAAAGCCUAUGUUUGGACAUCAGAAUGGUUCCGGGUGAGUUCGGACAUUUACAGGAGUACCGGGGGGUUACCGGAACCCCCGGGGAGUACAUGGGCCUUAAUGGGCCUUAGUGGGAGAGAGGAGGAGGCGGCCUAGGAGGGUGCACCCCCAAGCCCAAUCCAAAUUGGGAGGGGGGCCAGUCCCCCCUUUCCUUCCUCCCUCUCUCCUCCUUCCUUCCUCUCCUACUGCCACUUGGAAGAGGGGGAAUCCUACUCCCGGUGGGAGUAGGACUCCCCUAGGGCGCGCCAUAGAGAGGGCCGGCCCUCUCCCUCCUCCACUCCUUUAUAUACGGGGGAGGGGGCACCCCAUAGAUACACAAGUUGAUCAUUGUCUUAGCCGUGUGCGGUGCCCCCCUCCACCAUAAUCUACCUCGGUCAUAUCGUCGUAGUGCUUAGGCGAAGCCCUGCGCCGGUAUCUUCAUCAUCAUCGUCAUCACGCCGUCGUGCUGACGAAGCUCUCCCUCGACACUCAGCUGGAUCGAUAGUUCGUGGGACGUCACCGAGAUGAACGUGUGUAGAUCGCGGAGGUGCCAUACUUUCGGUACUAGGAUCGGUCGGACCGUGAAGACGUACGACUACAUCAACCGCGUUGUUAUAACGCUUCCGUUUACGGUCUAUGAGGGUACGUGGACUACACUCUCCCCUCUUAUUGCUAUGCAUCACCAUGAUAGAUCUUGGUAGGAAUUUUUUUGAAAUUACCGCGUUCCCCAACACGAAUCUGUCCCAUGCCGCGGCAGAUCUUGGGGCUCACUCACCGGUCCUCUCCACUCACCCGCCACCUCUCGCCCUCUCCCCUCCCCUGCCGCAUCGCCGCGCGAGUCGCCGAGCCCGCAAACGCGGGACUCCGCCCGCCGACCACCGCAUCAGUCCCAUGCCGCGGCCGGUCUUAUGGCUCAUUCACCUCUCUUCUCCACUCACUCCAACAUCUCGGUCAUCUCCCCUCCCCCGCCGCAUCGCCGCGCGCGUCGACUGUGCGACUCUGCCCACCAACCACCGCAGCGGCGUGGCUAGGGGCUCCGACGAGCUGUGUGCGGCGCGACCAACGGGGACGGACGCAGUGAGCUUACUGACAUAGGCGCGGGUGCUCGGUCCGGUCCCAUUCCGCUCGCAUCCGCAGCGGUGUUUGUCUCCGGCGAGGUGGCAGGUGGAUCCAAAGCGCGGCGGCUCGAUCUGCAUCGCCAGCAGCUCCGGUACGCCGCUCCCCCUUCUUGACCCACCCCCUCUCCUCCUCUUCUAAUUUAACUUGAUCCGCCCCUCUCCUCCUCUUUUUCUCCCUUUAAUUUCCUGCCUGAUCUGGUUUCCUCUUCCCUGAUGAGCUGCAGCGCCAUGAACCGGCCUCACAGCCACGGCCAGGAGCGACGAUUGCUCCCCAACUCUGCGGCAUGGUGUGCGCUGACCGUUCGUCCCCAAGUCCCCAACGCUGCCACCGGCCGGAGACACGACGGUUCUCUCGUCCGGCUCAAAGCACGCGCCGUUGUGGCCCGCCUCCCGCUGCAGCAGCUGGCAAAGAAAGCGGAACGCCCCUGCGCCGGCGACAUCGGCAUCUCCAUCGACCGUCUCAGCAACUGCUACCUUGACAGGUGAUGGUAAGCCUGAGCUAGCUGGGUUAUCUGAUUCAACAUGCAUGGUCAAUAUUUAUUUAAAUGGUUGACCCAUGAAUAUGUACAUACAAUCAGACGUACAUACCAUGCAUGUUAAGAUGAAACAUAAAACAAUCUUACUUGAUAUACUAGGGGGACGCAGAUCAAUUUUCCUCUGAUGAUCAUCUCGUGUGGGUUCGUUUAUCUGCCCCAGCUUGUGUUCUGAUCCGGUAUUGUUGCAUUGUACCACCAGUUCCUUUCAUGUAUUUUUCUUAGUCUGAUAAGACGUAUGCAUCCCGUCGCUUAAAGCAUCACAACCUAAAAUUAACAGAUCAACAAACGUGCCAUACGCUAUACACCAACAUGAACACCCGUAUGCAUAAAUUAUGUCAUAUGAAAAUGCGGAUUGGUCUGUACCAUAUGAAUCUUCCGGUACAUAAUCCAGUGUUACAUUACUCGGAGCCGACAAGGGAGCAUCAUGAUGGUCUCCUGCCCGUAGCAAUCUUGAUCCAUCUGUAAAGUUGUAACCAAUAGGAAUACAACACCAAUGAAAAACCGUUGAGCAAGUAUGGAGGUAACAUUCUCAGCAUGAUUCACACAGCCUUAUACUUGGAUGCGUUGUGUAACUGUCGUCAACAUUUUCAGCUACGGGUGUGAUGCUUGCAUAACAUUCUUCAACAUUUGUCGCACCGUCAGUAAUGGACAACUCGCAUGCGCCGAAAUUUCAGAUAGUGUGAAUUAUACAUGUAGGUAAGUCCUCGUCUGGUUGAUGUUCGCUUGCCUUGCUUUUUGAAUUCCCCAUAAGCACAUAUGUAACGGCAGCUCCCUGUGAAGAAGAUAACAUUGCUUGAUGUGAAUGGUUAUCAUAUAUUAAUUGCCUUACUUCAAGUUUUACCUUGUGCAAAAAGAUUUAGCAGCAUGUUCUUUAUAGUUCUUUGUUUUUCAUUUAUACAAAUCACCUCAGGUUAUGUUUAUUCAGGUUAUCUUUGCAAAUCACUUAGAUCACAUUGAUACAACAUCUAGGAAAUCAAUAUUGCAAACUUUGCACAUUAAGGAGUAAUCUAUAGUCAGGUUACUAUAACAAAUACUUCACAUACUAUAUGUUUUCCAAUAAAUCUGCUUGAGCUAAUUUGCUGUUUGGUUUUGUAUAUUGUGCUUGAAAUGCUUGCUUGCAGUUUUGAUCUGGCACUGAUCUUAUUAUCAGGGCCUUCAUGAUUUCCUUCUUGGAAUUGCUUGCUUCUAAUUUCUUUGAAAGAUACCAUGAUGCAAUUUUGUUUUUCUAUCUUGUGUAUUCUGCUGCUGAUUCCUGCUGAUUCUUUCUUGCAGUAUGGGUUAUUGUGUGACCGGUUACAGUGUGAUAACAAAUUUUGUAUUUGUGAUUUGUCCCCUCCCCAAGGAAGCUUCUAUAUAAAAGAUCUCAAAAUGCAGGAGCCUAAGAAAAUGCUACAUAAAAGAUGUCAACUUCUAUAUCAGCUAUCUAAAAGAUAUCACCUGUGCCUGAAAUUAUUAUCAGCUUCUUCAUCAAGUAUCAAUUAAUUGCAGCUGGGCUUAACCAUUGUUUUUUAUUUUCUUUGUCGACAGAGAGGCAAGUUCGAGAUUCAAUUGGAUGGACCUUCAUGUUGUUUAUUGAGUUUCUCAUCAGCCAUGGUCUUUCUUAAGUGAUUAUAAUGUCGAAGUAGUACAUUGCAAACAUGUGUAUAAACUGUAUAAUAACAAAACGCGAACCUGGACGCGUUUGGUUGCUGAUCCUGGAAGCGGUCGGCAGCGGGUCCUGUAGGCGGUACACGGCGGAACCUUGAAGUGAUCGGCGGCUGAAUGUGCUAGCGGUUCGCGUUUGAUUAGCACACCCGCCCUACGCGCGCCAUGUUCCACCUAACUAUUUUUUGAGGGGUUACCCUAUUUNNNNNNNNNNNNNNNNNNNNNNNNNNNNNNNNNNNNNNNNNNNNNNNNNNNNNNNNNNNNNNNNNNNNNNNNNNNNNNNNNNNNNNNNNNNNNNNNNNNNNNNNNNNNNNNNNNNNNNNNNNNNNNNNNNNNNNNNNNNNNNNNNNNNNNNNNNNNNNNNNNNNNNNNNNNNNNNNNNNNNNNNNNNNNNNNNNNNNNNNNNNNNNNNNNNNNNNNNNNNNNNNNNNNNNNNNNNNNNNNNNNNNNNNNNNNNNNNNNNUCAUUUCGGCCGGCCCAUCUUGCUCGUUUCCCCUUUUUUCAGGUUCUAGAACCUCCCCAAACCAAUUUUUUUUUGUGUGUGGUGUUCUUUCCGUUUUUUUUCUUUUUUCGUAUCUCUUUUAGUUUUCUUUUUUAUUUCCCUUUUAAUUUCAUUUUCGUUUUUUGAUUCAUUGUUUUUACCAAAUUUACAACCAUUUUUUAAAAUUUGAACAACUUUUAAAAUCAGUGAUUUUUUGGCAAUUUUUUCAUGGAAUUCAAAAUUUUCAUUGAAAUAAAAAAUAUAUUUUAUUCAAAAACUGCAUAAAUUAUACACAAAUGUACGUAAAAUAAUAAUAAAUGGUCGUCAAAUUCAAAAUAUGUUCUCCAAAGAAAAAUUAGUUCAUAAAAAAAUGUUUUCGUCCAAAAAAAUGUUCAUCAUAUUCAAAUAUUUAUAAAGUUAAAGAAAUGUUCAGAGACUUCAAAAAUGUCUUUGAACUCAAAAUUUGUUCACGAAAUUCAGAAAAAAUACAUUAAAUUUAAUUUUGUUCAUACCGAAAUAUUCAUCAAUAUUCAAACAAUGUUCAUAAAAAUCAUUAAAAUACAAAUUUUUCAUCAAAUUUAUGAAAAUGUUCAUUUUUUAGAAAUUGGAAGAGUAUUCUGAAUUCGUGAACAUUGUUUUAAAUUUGUGAAUAGUUUUUCAUUAGUGAACAGUUUUUUGCAAUUCAAAACUUGUGGGCUGCAUGCUCGCUUCUUUCCCAACGUGCAGGUCGCUAUAUAGGAGCCCCCCCGCGCAAUAGGGAUUAUUGUAUUGGAUGCCCCUAUGAAGAUUCUAUACGCCUGCCAGCCUGCGUGCUACAACAUCCAAAAUAGAGGGAUCUCCGUUUGGAUAGGGCGUGUGAAUGAGAAUGUUGAUGGGCCAGGCACUGUGUGGCCUAUUAAUGUAUAUGUUUUUGGUUUGACAAAAUUAACCUAAAAAUAUGUAAUAAUUUUUUAUAUUAUUGUCUUUUUAGUAAGAAGGAAACUAUAUAUAUAAUUAGAAAUUAAUGUACCUAUAAACAAAUGUUCAUAUAUACAAAAAAAUCAUCUUAUAUUUCAUGAAAGUUUACUAUAAAUUACAACAUAAAAUUUAAUUGAAAAUUCGACGCAAUUAAUUUAAAAAAUGCAAAUGUGCGUUAGAAUAUAUAUUCGCAUAAAUUUUAAAAAAUGUACCUAUUUUAUCUACAAAUUAUAAUUUGACAAAAGUCAGAAAAAAAUUGUAGUGAAUAAAACAGGAAGAAGAACACAAAAGAGAAAAGGAAAAACAGUAAUAACAGAAAGCACAAAAAGGAAAUAAAAACAUAAAGGGGAAGAAGAAGGAAAAAAUGUGUCGCACCUACCGGGUGGCAUAUAGGAAUUCUGAUGAAUCCAAGCAAACCUUUGUGUUGCGUAAGGUUCCUCUCCCUAAUGGCAGCUCACCAUAUAGGAAUUGGGGAAUUGCAUACAAUCUCAGAUAUGUAAUUUGAAUCUGGAAGUGAGAGAGAGAGAGAGAGAGAGAGAGAGAGAGAGAGAGAGAGAGAGAGAGAGAGAGGAAAACAUGAGAGUAGGUGAGUUUACACCCUAAAAAUUCGACAACCCUCGAGCACAUGCCUCACGCACUUUACGUGAAUCGAGUAACUGGACGGGGGAAUCAUAUACGCACCCCCUUCCGCGCUUGGCGUUCUCAUGGGCUGGCCCAAUUUUCAAUUUUUUCUUUUUUCCUUUCCUUUUCUGUUUUUCUUUUUCUUCCCUUUUUUUAUCUUUACUUUUUCACCCUUUUUGCGAAUUUUAUUUUCAAAUUCCCNNNNNNNNNNNNNNNNNNNNNNNNNNNNNNNNNNNNNNNNNNNNNNNNNNNNNNNNNNNNNNNNNNNNNNNNNNNNNNNNNNNNNNNNNNNNNNNNNNNNNNNNNNNNNNNNNNNNNNNNNNNNNNNNNNNNNNNNNNNNNNNNNNNNNNNNNNNNNNNNNNNNNNNNNNNNNNNNNNNNNNNNNNNNNNNNNNNNNNNNNNNNNNNNNNNNNNNNNNNNNNNNNNNNNNNNNNNNNNNNNNNNNNNNNNNNNNNNNNNNNNNNNNNNNNNNNNNNNNNNNNNNNNNNNNNNNNNNNNNNNNNNNACCUAAAUGUUUUUCAUUAAAUUCCAAUUUGUUUAUCAUUUUAAUUUUUCAUCAAAUUCAAAAAAUAACAUUGAAUUCAAAAUUUGUUCAUUCAUUUUUUUAAACAGUUCUUGAAUACAAAUUUUGUUCAUCAAGUUAAAAAAUGUUCACUAAAUUCAAAAUCUGUUCUUCAAGUUUUAAAAUUGUUUAUCAUUAGUAAAUAAUGCUCAUAAUUUUUUUCAUAUAUAUAAAGAAAUGUUCAUUCAAAUUCGAAAAAUGUUUAUUUUUGUAAAUCAUAGACAUUUUUUAAUUCGAGAACUGUUUUUGACAAUUCAAAACUCAUAAAAUUUUGAAAUAUUAGAACCUUUUUGUAAUCCCGAAUUAUUUUAACAUAUAAUAAAACAAAAACAGAAAAUAAAAACAAAAACUAAAAACGAACAAAAAAACAGGGAGCGUUCGUCCCCGCACAUGGGCCGGCCCAACAGGGAGCGCAUGGGGCUGGGGGUGCGCGCUUCCCCAACUGCGAGAGCAACUAAUUGACAAGCGCUCCUUCUGGAGCCUCGCAACUAUCACUUGCGGGUGGGCUAAGAGCGCGCAGACGCCACCACGUGUUGCGCUCUAGGCGCUCCCUCCGGAUUUUUUUAUUUUUCCGCAUGCGUUUUUGGCUUUUAAACGGUUUUUUGUUUCUGGUUUUUUUCGACCUUUUGGGUUUUCAAUGGUCUUCCUUAGCUUUUGGACCAAAAAAGAUUUCAAAUUCUUUUUUGCGCGAAAAAUGCGUUUUUUUACACAUAAAUAUAGUAUCUGGGGGUACAAGCACAAUGAGCACACAUCCGACCUCUGCAUAUUUAGGAUGAACAUAGCAACACAAAUGCACACAGGUAAAACAUCAUAUCGACAAAGCACAAAGUCAUAUAAGAAUGAAACUAUGCCUAGGCGGAGAGAGAGAAAAGAAAAGAAAAAAGAGCAAUCAAAAUAGUGAUCGACGGUAUACAACAACGACCAUCCACACCAACCAUUUCUUGACAACACAAGGACUACGAGAAAUGUUCUCCAAAAGGAACAACCUCAUGAAGUGAACGACACGCAAGCGCCGCUGCCGCUGGAUCCAACAACGGGUAGAUCAUGUGCUUUCACCCUGAAUGAGUCUGAGUGAAUUCCAAGCAACAUCUUCAACAAGUAAUGACGUAAAAACGAGACCAUUGUACCAACUAGGGUUAGACCUAGGGUUUUCACUAUAGAUCUCAAGACAAGGUGCUAUGCACACAGUCAUGACAUGAUAUGCCAUGCGACAGAUGACCAUUGCCCGCAUGAGUAGAUAGUGGAGUCGUGACAAGUGUCGCUUGCCACGACAUGAUGUAUGAUACGUCCAUUUUGCGUCAUGCUUUUAAAUCGAUAUUAACUGCAUUAUGGACUGUUAUUACACAUUAUGUCACAAUACUUAUGCCUAUUCUCUCUUAUUUUACAAGGUUUACAUAAAGAGGGAGAAUGCCGGCAGCUGGAAUUCUGGGCUGGAAAAGGAGCAAUUAUUAGAGACCUAUUCUGCACAACUCCAAAAGUCCUGAAACUCCACGAAAGUUAUUUUUGGAAAUAAUAAAAAAUAGUGAGCGAAGAAAAUACCAGAGGGGACCCACACCCUGGCCACGAGGGUGGGGGGCGCGCCCCCUGCCUCGUGGGCCCCUUGGUGGCCCUCCGGUGCCCAUCUUCUGCUAUAUGAAGUCUUUCGUCCGAGAAAAAAUCAUAAGAAAGCUUUCGGGAAGAGACUCCGCCGCCACGAGGCGGAACCUUGGCGGAACCAAUCUAGGGCUCCAGCGAAGCUGUUCUGCGGGGGAAACUUCCCUCCGGGAGGGGGAGAUCAUCGCCAUCGUCAUCACCAACGCUCCUCUCAUCGGGAGGGGGCCAAUCUCCAUCAACAUCUUCACCAGCACUAUCUCCUCUCAAACCCUAGUUCAUCUCUUGUAUCCAAUUCUUGUCUCUAAGUCUGAGAUUGGUACCUGUAGGUUGCUAGUAGUGUUGAUUACUCCUUGUAGUUGAUGCUAGUUGGUUUAUUUGGUGGAAGAUCAUAUGUUCAGAUCCAUUAUGCAUAUUAAUACUCCUCUGAUUAUGAACAUGAAUAUGCUUUGUGAGUAGUUACGUUUGUUCCUGAGGACAUGGGAGAAGUCUUGCUAUUAGUAGCCAUGUGAAUUUGGUAUUCGUUCGAUAUUUUGAUGAGAUGUAUGUUGUCUCUCCUCUAGUGGUGUCAUGUGAACGUCGACUACAUGACACUUCACCAUUAUUUGGGCCUAGAUGAAGGCAUUGGGAAGUAAUAAGUAGAUGACGGGUUGCUAGAGUGACAGAAGAUUAAACCCUAGUUUAUGCGUUGCUUCAUAAGGGGCUGAUUUGGAUCCAUAUGUUUCAUGCUAUGGUUAGGUUUACCUUAAUACUUCUUUUGUAGUUGCGGAUGCUUACAAUAGGAGUUAAUCAUAAGUGGGAUGCUUGUCCAAUUAAGGGCAGCACCCAAGCACCGGUCCACCUACAUAUCAAAUUAUCAAAGUACCGAACGCGAAUCAUAUGAACGUGAUGAAAACUAGCUUGACGAUAAUUCCCAUGUGUCCUCGGGAGCGUUUUCCUUCAUAUAAGAAAUUGUCCAGGCUUGUCCUUUGCUACAAAAAGGAUUGGGCCAUCUUGCUGCACUUUAUUUAUACUUGUUACUUGUUACCCGUUACAAUUUAUCUUAUCACAGAACUAUCUGUUACCGACAAUUUCAGUGCUUGCAGAGAAUACCUUACUGAAAACCGCUUAUCAUUUCCUUCUGCUCCUCGUUGGGUUUGACACUCUUACUUAUCGAAAGGACUAUGAUAGAUCCCCUAUACUUGUGGGUCAUCAAGAAUCUUUUCUGGCGCCGUUGCCGGGGAGUGAAGCGCCUUUGGUAGGUGGAAUUUGGUAAGGAAAUAUUUAUAUAGUGUGCUGAAAUUUACUGUCACUUGUUACUAUGGAAAGCAAUCCUUUGAGGGGCUUGUUCGGGGUAUCUUCACCCCGACCAGUAGAGCAAAUAGUUGCUCCUCAACCUACUGAACCUACUGAAAAUGUUUACUUUGAAAUUCCUUUGGGUAUGAUAGAGAAACUGCUAGCUAAUCCUUUUGCAGGAGAUGGAACAUUGCAUCCCGAUUUACACUUAAUCUAUGUGGAUGAAUUAUGUGGAUUAUUUAAGCUUGCAGAUAUGCCCGAUGAUGUUAUCAAGAAGAAGGUCUUUCCUUUAUCUUUGAAGGGAGAUGCAUUGACAUGGUAUAGGCUAUGUGAUGAUAUGGAAUCAUGGGACUACAAGCGAUUGAAAUUGGAAUUUCAUCAGAAGUUUUAUCCUAUGCAUCUUGUUCAUUGUGAUCGUAAUUAUAUAUAUAAUUUUUGGCCUCGCGAAGGAGAAAGCAUCGCUCAAGCUUGGGGGAGGCUUAAGUCAAUGUUAUAUUCAUGCCCCAAUCAUGAGCUCUCAAGAGAGAUGAUUAUUCAAAAAAAUUAUGCUCGGCUUUCUGACAACAAUCACUCCAUGCUCGAUACUUCUUGUAAUGGUUCCUUUAUGAUGAAGACUAUUGAAUUCAAAUGGAAUUUAUUGGAAAGAAUUAAACGCAACUCUGAAGAUUGGGAUCUCGACGAAGGUAAGGAGUCAGGUAUAACACCUACGUUUGAUUGUGUUAAAUCUUUUAUGGAUACCGAUGUUUUCCGUAAAUUUAGCACUAAAUAUGGACUUGACUCUGAGAUAGUAGCUUCUUUCUGUGAAUCCUUUGCUACUCAUGUUGAUCUCCCUAAGGAGAAGUGGUUUAAAUAUAAUCCUCCCGUUGAAGUAAAAGUAGUUGCACCUAUUAAAGUUGAAGAAAAGAUUGUCACUUAUAAUGAUCCUGUUGUUCCUACUGCUUAUGUUGAGAAACCACCUUUCCCUGUUAGGUUAAAAGAUCAUGCUAAAGAUUCAACUGUAUCAACAAAAGUAAUAUUAGGACACACAAACCUCCUGAGCAAGUUAAAGUUGAACCUAAUAUUGCAUGUUAUUUACUUCUGUGAUGAGACCGCUAGAAUUUCUAAACCUGGUGCCAAAGAUAAACAUAGACCUGUUGUAGGCAUGCCGGUUAUUUCUGUUAAAAUAGGAGAUCAUUGUUAUCAUGGCUUGUGUGAUAUGGGUGCUAGUGCUAGUGCAAUACGUAUUUCCUUAUAUCAAGAAAUUAUGCAUGGUAUUGCACCCGCUGAGUUAGAAGAAAUUGAUGUUACCAUUAAGCUUGCUAAUAGAGAUACUAUUUCACCAAUUGGGAUUGUUAGAGAUGUUGAAGUCUUGUGUGGGAAAGCUAAAUACCCUGCUGAUUUUCUUGUUCUUGGUUCCCCACAAGAUAGCUUUUGUCCCAUCAUAUUUGGUAGACCCUUCUUGAACACUGUUAAUGCUAGGAUAGACUGCAAAAAGGACGUUGUUACUAUUGGUUUGGAUGAUAUGUCUCAUGAGUUUAAUUUCUCUAAAUUUCAUAGACAACCUCGUGAUGAGGAAUUGCCUAGUAAAGAUGAAAUUAUUGGUCUUGCUUCUAUUGCCGCACCCCCUAAUGAUCCUUUAGAAUAAUAUUUGCUAGACCAUGAGAAUGAUAUGUUUAUGAAUGAAAGAAGGGAAAUAGAUGAAGUAUUCUUUAAACAGGGACCUAUUCUGAAACACAACUUGCCUAUUGAAAUCCUAGGGGAUCCUCCUCCACCCAAGGGUGAUCCCGUGUUUGAGCUUAAACCAUUACCUGAUACUCUUAAAUAUGCUUAUCUUGAUGAAAAGAAGAUAUAUCCUGUUAUUAUUAGUGCUAACCUUUCAGAGCAUGAAGAACGGAAAUUAUUGAAAACUCCGAAGAAACACCGUGCUGCUAUUGGAUAUACUCUCGAUGAUCUUAAGGGCAUUAGUCCCACUCUAUGCCAACACAAAAUAAAUUUGGAGAAAGAUGCCAAACCAGUUAUUGAUCACCAACGACGACUAAAUCCGAAGAUGAAGGAAGUGGUAAGAAAGGAAAUACUAAAGCUCCUUGAGGCAGGUAUAAUUUAUCUUGUUGCUGAUAGUCAGUGGGUAAGUCCUGUCCAUUUUGUCCCUAAGAAGGGAGGUAUUACUGUCGUUCCUAAUGAUAAAGAUGAAUUGAUUCCACAAAGAAUUAUUACAGGUUAUAGGAUGGUAAUUGAUUUCCGCAAAUUAAAUAAAGCUACUAAAAAAGAUCAUUACCCUUUGCCUUUCAUUGAUCAAAUGCUAGAAAGACUAUCCAAACAUACACAUUUUUGCUUUCUAGAUGGUUACUCUGGCUUCUCUCAAAUACCUGUGUCAGCUGAUGAUCAAGCAAAGACCACUUUUACUUGCCCUUUCGGUACCUUUGCUUAUAGACGUAUGCCUUUUGGUUUAUGUAAUGCACCUGCUACCUUUCAAAGAUGUAUGAUGGCUAUAUUCUCAGAUUCUUGUGAAAAGAUUUGUGAGGUUUUCAUGGACGACUUCUCUGUUU
This 23475-nucleotide long non-coding RNA is filed under the name Triticum aestivum (bread wheat). RNAcentral describes it as "long non-coding RNA (TAES_LNC008870)". The record is from RNAcentral. Lineage: Eukaryota; Viridiplantae; Streptophyta; Magnoliopsida; Poales; Poaceae.